RNAcentral lists this ribosomal RNA (473 nucleotides) under uncultured bacterium. RNAcentral's name for it is "bacterial SSU rRNA". It matches the Rfam family "Bacterial small subunit ribosomal RNA", at positions 45 to 507 of the family's 1533-position model. The record is from RNAcentral.
UGCCUUACACAUGCAAGUCGAACGGCAGCAUGGAGGAGCUUGCUCCUCUGAUGGCGAGUGGCGAACGGGUGAGUAAAGCAGUCGGAACGUGCCGUGUAGUGGGGAUAACGUAGCGAAAGUUACGCUAAUACCGCAUACGCACCGAGGUGGAAAGCAGGGGAUCGCAAGACCUUGCGCUAUACGAGCGGCCGAUGUCAGAUUAGCUAGUUGGUAGGGUAAUGGCUCACCAAGGCGACGAUCUCUAGCUGGUUUGAGAGGAUGAUCAGCCACACUGGAACUGAGACACGGUCCAGACUCCUACGGGAGGCAGCAGUGGGGAAUAUUGGACAAUGGGCGCAAGCCUGAUCCAGCCAUGCCGCGUGUGUGAAGAAGGCCUUAGGGUUGUAAAGCACUUUCAGCGAGGAGGAAGGGGUGAGUGUUAAUAGUACUCAUCUUUGACGUUACUCGCAGAAGAAGCACCGGCUAACUCUGUG